CAGGAGACAAUGAUGUGGAGGAGAGAUUAUAAUAAUUCGCCAGCAGCAAAAUGAUUCAGAAUUACUGCCCGGAAAACUAGUGCACACAUGAGAUUGAACAUCAUGCAGUAGAACUUAGAAGAGAUAUUUCAGUGCUUCUUCAAAUUCAGUGGAUCUUACCAAAACUUCUGAGCCUACUGAAACCUAACAAGCACGUCUCUAACAUUCAGUUUGCAAAAUGGACAACUCUUCUAUACACUUGGACAAUCACAAAAGCUAUCCAACAUUCAGUUAACCAACAAAAGUUACCGUUACUGUCCUGCACCUUGUCCAAGCAGAUAAAGUAUAAUUAAUGUUAGCAAAUGACGAGAAUAGGAUUUACCUAUCAAAAUUUUAAAACGAAAGCCUACCUUGAGCAUUUCCACCAAAAAGCCUCAAUCGCAAACACUUCAACGCCAUCGUGUGCUCAGCUUUCGCAUUGUCACUCAGCCCAUUGGUGUUAGCAAGAAGGAGCUCUUUGUAGGCUUCGACUCUGAACGUGAGGAAGUCUC
RNAcentral lists this long non-coding RNA (530 nucleotides) under Setaria italica (foxtail millet). Its description in RNAcentral is "long non-coding RNA (SITA_LNC002943)". Lineage: Eukaryota; Viridiplantae; Streptophyta; Magnoliopsida; Poales; Poaceae. The record is from RNAcentral.